RNAcentral lists this ribosomal RNA (701 nucleotides) under Serratia sp. 30ANGIII. RNAcentral's name for it is "bacterial SSU rRNA". It matches the Rfam family "Bacterial small subunit ribosomal RNA", at positions 71 to 766 of the family's 1533-position model. Lineage: Bacteria; Pseudomonadati; Pseudomonadota; Gammaproteobacteria; Enterobacterales; Yersiniaceae. The record is from RNAcentral.
ACAGGGAGCUUGCUCCUGGGUGACGAGCGGCGGACGGGUGAGUAAUGUCUGGGAAACUGCCCGAUGGAGGGGGAUAACUACUGGAAACGGUAGCUAAUACCGCAUAACGUCUUCGGACCAAAGUGGGGGACCUUCGGGCCUCACACCAUCGGAUGUGCCCAGAUGGGAUUAGCUAGUAGGUGAGGUAAUGGCUCACCUAGGCGACGAUCCCUAGCUGGUCUGAGAGGAUGACCAGCCACACUGGAACUGAGACACGGUCCAGACUCCUACGGGAGGCAGCAGUGGGGAAUAUUGCACAAUGGGCGCAAGCCUGAUGCAGCCAUGCCGCGUGUGUGAAGAAGGCCUUCGGGUUGUAAAGCACUUUCAGCGAGGAGGAAGGGUUCAGUGUUAAUAGCACUGAUCAUUGACGUUACUCGCAGAAGAAGCACCGGCUAACUCCGUGCCAGCAGCCGCGGUAAUACGGAGGGUGCAAGCGUUAAUCGGAAUUACUGGGCGUAAAGCGCACGCAGGCGGUUUGUUAAGUCAGAUGUGAAAUCCCCGAGCUUAACUUGGGAACUGCAUUUGAAACUGGCAAGCUAGAGUCUUGUAGAGGGGGGUAGAAUUCCAGGUGUAGCGGUGAAAUGCGUAGAGAUCUGGAGGAAUACCGGUGGCGAAGGCGGCCCCCUGGACAAAGACUGACGCUCAGGUGCGAAAGCGUGGGG